RNAcentral lists this microRNA precursor (78 nucleotides) under Olea europaea subsp. europaea. Lineage: Eukaryota; Viridiplantae; Streptophyta; Magnoliopsida; Lamiales; Oleaceae. The record is from RNAcentral.
UUAUGGAAGAUUGUGUGGUUGAAAAUAUGAGAGAGAAAAAUGAAAUGUUCAUAUUUUUAAUCACACAAUCUUCCAUAA